Oncorhynchus keta (chum salmon) is the source of this 1143-nucleotide long non-coding RNA. RefSeq lists it as uncharacterized. The transcript has 6 exons. NCBI's taxonomy places the organism in Eukaryota, Metazoa, Chordata, Actinopteri, Salmoniformes, Salmonidae. The record is from RefSeq and is a predicted model, not a curated record.
CGGUCAUACAGGACAUCAACGAGGUGAGAGAGAGAGACAGGUUGUGUGUUAGAGCUGAGACGAUGAACGGUCAUACAGGACAUCAACGAGGUGAGAGAGAGACAGGUUGUGUGUUAGAGCUGGGACGAUGAACGGUCAUACAGGACAUCAACGAGGUGAGAGAGAGACAGGUUGUGUGUUAGAGCUGGGACGAUGAACGGUCAUACAGGACAUCAACGAGGUGAGAGACAGACAGGUUGUGUGUUAGAGCUGAGACGAUGAACGGUCAUACAGGACAUCAACGAGGUGAGAGAGAGACAGGUUGUGUGUUAGAGCUGGGACGAUGAACGGUCAUACAGGACCUCAACGAGGUGAGAGAGAGACAGGUUGUGUGUUAGAGCUGGGACGAUGAACGGUCAUACAGGACCUCAACGAGGUGAGAGAGAGACAGGUUGUGUGUUAGAGCUGGGACGAUGAACGGUCAUACAGGACAUCAACGAGGUGAGAGACAGACAGGUUGUGUGUUAGAGCUGGGACGAUGAACGGUCAUACAGGACAUCAACGAGGUGAGAGAGAGACAGGUUGUGUGUUAGAGCUGAGACGAUGAACGGUCAUACAGGACAUCAACGAGGUGAGAGACAGACAGGUUGUGUGUUAGAGCUGGGACGAUGAACGGUCAUACAGGACCUCAACGAGGUGAGAGAGAGACAGGUUGUGUGUUAGAGCUGAGACGAUGAACGGUCAUACAGGACAUCAACGAGGUGAGAGAGAGACAGGUUGUGUGUUAGAGCUGGGACGAUGAACGGUCAUACAGGACAUCAACGAGGUGAGAGAGAGACAGGUUGUGUGUUAGAGCUGGGACGAUGAACGGUCAUACAGGACCUCAACGAGGUGAGAGAGACAGGUUGUGUGUUAGAGCUGGGACGAUGAACGGUCAUACAGGACAUCAACGAGGUGAGAGACAGACAGGUUGUGUGUUAGAGCUGGGACGAUGAACGGUCAUACAGGACAUCAACGAGGUGAGAGAGAGAGACAGGUUGUGUGUUAGAGCUGGGACGAUGAACGGUCAUACAGGACAUCAACGAGGUGAGAGACAGACAGGUUGUGUGUUAGAGCUGAGACGAUGAACGGUCAUACAGGACAUCAACGAGGUGAGAGAGAGAC